Molecule: unclassified non-coding RNA, 377 nt
Filed under: uncultured Bacillaceae bacterium
Lineage: Bacteria; Bacillati; Bacillota; Bacilli; Caryophanales; Bacillaceae
Description: contains 16S-23S intergenic spacer region
Source: RNAcentral
UCCGGUUUAUCACCGGCAGUCACCUUAGAGUGCCCAACUUAAUGCUGGCAACUAAGAUCAAGGGUUCCGCUCGUUACGGGACUUAACCCAACAUCUCACGACACGAGCUGACGACAACCAUGCACCACCUGUCACUCUGUCCCCGAAGGGAACGUCCUAUCUCUAGGAGUAGCAGAGGAUGUCAAGACCUGGUAAGGUUCUUCGCGUAGCGUCGAAUUAAACCACAUGCUCCACCGCUUGUGCGGGCCCCCGUCAAUUCUUUUGAGUUUCAGCCUUGCGGCCGUACUCCCCAGGCGGAGUGCUUAAUGCGUUAACUCCAGCACCAAGGGGCGGAAACCCCCUGACACCUAGCACUCAUCGUUUACGGCGUGGACUAC